RNAcentral lists this ribosomal RNA (253 nucleotides) under uncultured bacterium. RNAcentral's name for it is "partial 16S ribosomal RNA". It matches the Rfam family "Bacterial small subunit ribosomal RNA", at positions 524 to 776 of the family's 1533-position model. The record is from RNAcentral.
UACGUAGGGUGCGAGCGUUGUCCGGAAUUAUUGGGCGUAAAGAGCUUGUAGGCGGUUUGUCGCGUCUGCUGUGAAAAUCCGGGGCUCAACCCCGGACUUGCAGUGGGUACGGGUAGACUAGAGUGUGGUAGGGGAGACUGGAAUUCCUGGUGUAGCGGUGAAAUGCGCAGAUAUCAGGAGGAACACCGAUGGCGAAGGCAGGUCUCUGGGCCACUACUGACGCUGAGAAGCGAAAGCAUGGGGAGCGAACAGG